AAAUAAGAAUCGAGAGUGUGUGCA
RNAcentral lists this non-coding RNA (24 nucleotides) under Cricetulus griseus (Chinese hamster). Lineage: Eukaryota; Metazoa; Chordata; Mammalia; Rodentia; Cricetidae. The record is from RNAcentral.